GUCUCUGAGGAUGACUAAAAGAAAACUUUCGUUCUUCUGAGAUAAUCCAUGCGGAAAGUUUAUGGAGACCUGAACUGAAGAGGC
Non-coding RNA from Nelumbo nucifera (sacred lotus), 84 nucleotides. Lineage: Eukaryota; Viridiplantae; Streptophyta; Magnoliopsida; Proteales; Nelumbonaceae. The record is from Rfam.